GUCUACGGCCACACCACCCUGAACACGCCCGAUCCCAUCCGAUCUCGGAAGCUAAGCAGGGUCGGGCCUGGUUAGUACUUGGAAGGGAGAAUAGAAUGAUGGUUACAGAGGCU
RNAcentral lists this ribosomal RNA (113 nucleotides) under Microcebus murinus (gray mouse lemur). The record is from RNAcentral. Lineage: Eukaryota; Metazoa; Chordata; Mammalia; Primates; Cheirogaleidae.